RNAcentral lists this ribosomal RNA (447 nucleotides) under uncultured Actinomycetes bacterium. Its description in RNAcentral is "bacterial SSU rRNA". It matches the Rfam family "Bacterial small subunit ribosomal RNA", at positions 955 to 1395 of the family's 1533-position model. Lineage: Bacteria; Bacillati; Actinomycetota; Actinomycetes. The record is from RNAcentral.
AUUAACGCGAAGAACCUUACCAAGGCUUGACAUACACCGGAAACGGCCAGAGAUGGUCGCCCCCUUGUGGUCGGUGUACAGGUGGUGCAUGGCUGUCGUCAGCUCGUGUCGUGAGAUGUUGGGUUAAGUCCCGCAACGAGCGCAACCCUUGUCCAGUGUUGCCAGCAUGCUCUUCGGGGUGAUGGGGACUCACAGGAGACCGCCGGGGUCAACUCGGAGGAAGGUGGGGACGACGUCAAGUCAUCAUGCCCCUUAUGUCUUGGGCUGCACACGUGCUACAAUGGCCGGUACAAUGAGCUGCGAAACCGUGAGGUGGAGCGAAUCUCAAAAAGCCGGUCUCAGUUCGGAUUGGGGUCUGCAACUCGACCCCAUGAAGUCGGAGUUGCUAGUAAUCGCAGAUCAGCAUUGCUGCGGUGAAUACGUUCCCGGGCCUUGUACACACCGAAU